This 421-nucleotide ribosomal RNA is filed under the name uncultured bacterium. RNAcentral's name for it is "partial 16S ribosomal RNA". It matches the Rfam family "Bacterial small subunit ribosomal RNA", at positions 360 to 773 of the family's 1533-position model. The record is from RNAcentral.
AACAUUGGACAAUGGGCGAAAGCCUGAUCCAGCCAUCCCGCGUGUAUGAUGAAGGCCUUCGGGCUGUAAAGUACUUUUGGCAGAGAAGAAAAGGUAUCUCCUAAUACGAGAUACUGCUGACGGUAUCUGCAGAAUAAGCACCGGCUAACUACGUGCUAGCAGCCGCGGUAAUACGUAGGGUGCAAGCGUUAAUCGGAAUUACUGGGCGUAAAGCGUGUGUGGGCGGUUCGGAAAGAAAGAUGUGAAAUCCCAGGGCUCAACCUUGGAACUGCAUUUCUAACUGCCGAGCUAGAGUAUGUCAGAGGGGGGUAGAAUUCCACGUGUAGCAGUGAAAUGCGUAGAUAUGUGGAGAAAUACCGAUGGCGAAGGCAGCCCCCUGGGAUAAUACUGACGCUCAGACACGAGAGCGUGGGGAGCAAAC